This 591-nucleotide ribosomal RNA is filed under the name Cronobacter turicensis. RNAcentral's name for it is "partial 23S ribosomal RNA". It matches the Rfam family "Bacterial large subunit ribosomal RNA", at positions 1 to 631 of the family's 2925-position model. The record is from RNAcentral. Lineage: Bacteria; Pseudomonadati; Pseudomonadota; Gammaproteobacteria; Enterobacterales; Enterobacteriaceae.
GGUUAAGCGAACAAGCGUACACGGUGGAUGCCCUGGCAGUCAGAGGCGAUGAAGGACGUGCUAAUCUGCGAAAAGCGUCGGUAAGGUGAUAUGAACCGUUAUAACCGACGAUGUCCGAAUGGGGAAACCCGGUGCACUUCGGUGCAUCAUCGUUUGAUGAAUACAUAGUCAAACGAGGCGAACCGGGGGAACUGAAACAUCUAAGUACCCCGAGGAAAAGAAAUCAACCGAGAUUCCCCCAGUAGCGGCGAGCGAACGGGGAACAGCCCAGAGCCUGAAUCAGCUUGUGUGUUAAUGGAAGCGUCUGGAAAGUCGCACGAUACAGGGUGAAAGUCCCGUACAUGAAAGCACACAGGCUGUGAGCUCGAUGAGUAGGGCGGGACACGUGAUAUCCUGUCUGAAGAUGGGGGGACCAUCCUCCAAGGCUAAAUACUCCUGACUGACCGAUAGUGAACCAGUACCGUGAGGGAAAGGCGAAAAGAACCCCGGCGAGGGGAGUGAAACAGAACCUGAAACCGUGUACGUACAAGCAGUGGGAGCCUUCGUAAGAGGGUGACUGCGUACCUUUUGUAUAAUGGGUCAGCGACUUAU